UUUNNNUGUACGGAAGUCGCUAGAGAUAGCUUCGUGCUCGAAAGAGAGCCGUAACACAGGUGCUGCAUGGCUGUCGUCAGCUCGUGUCGUGAGAUGUUGGGUUAAGUCCCGCAACGAGCGCAACCCUUGCCAUUAGUUGCUACAUUUAGUUGAGCACUCUAAUGGGACUGCCGGUGACAAACCGGAGGAAGGUGGGGAUGACGUCAAGUCCUCAUGGCCCUUAUAGGUGGGGCUACACACGUCAUACAAUGGCUGGUACAAAGGGUUGCCAACCCGCGAGGGGGAGCUAAUCCCAUAAAGCCNGUCGUAGUCCGGAUCGCANUCUGCAACUCGACUGCGUGAAGUCGGAAUCGCUAGUAAUCGUGGAUCANAAUGUCACGGUGAAUACNUUCCCNGG
Molecule: ribosomal RNA, 397 nt
Filed under: Comamonas sp. AZTITEMP93
Lineage: Bacteria; Pseudomonadati; Pseudomonadota; Betaproteobacteria; Burkholderiales; Comamonadaceae
Description: partial 16S ribosomal RNA
Rfam family: Bacterial small subunit ribosomal RNA
Source: RNAcentral